Non-coding RNA from Pelobates cultripes (western spadefoot toad), 279 nucleotides. The record is from the annotation of a GenBank genome assembly. Lineage: Eukaryota; Metazoa; Chordata; Amphibia; Anura; Pelobatidae.
CAUUGCUGCACGUUUACAGUUUGCACAAGAGCACCUGGAUGUUCCACAGCAGUACUGGCAAAAUAUUCUGUGGACAGAUGAAACCAAAGUUGAGUUGUUUGGAAGAAACACACAAUACUAUGUGUGGUGAAAAAAGGCACAGCACACCAACAUCAAAACCUCAUCCCAACUGUGAAGUAUGGUGGUGGGGGCAUCAUGGUUUGGGGCUGCUUUGCUGCGUCAGGGCCUGGACGGAUUGCUAUCAUCGAAGGAAAAAUGAAUUCCCAAGUUUAACAAGAC